CCGUGGGAACCCGCGGUCCCAGUCUCGCUCCCGACUCGCUCCCGCCUUCACCUGCGCUUUGUCCGCAAUUUGCCUGCUGCCCGCAGCCCCCCGGCUCGCUAGGCUGCAAAAGAAAGGGGAGGAAAAGCCUCAAGCAGACCCCAGCCUGCCCACAAAACCGCCUUUUGUCCUGAGCACCCCAAAGCAAAAGGAGGAUAAAGAGGGGAACUUUGCACAUACAAAAACAGAAGAAAAAAAAAAAGGCGAUGGGGUGAAAGAGUCGGCGGAGAGGAGCGGCCGUGCCCCGAUGUGCCUGGACCAGCCUGGUUUUUGCAUAACCUCAUGCUUCUUCUCACACCUUUCCCUUCCAAAUUCAGCCUUUCGGGCUAUGCACCUGCACGUAAGUGAGGCAGCAAGAGAAGCUGGAAGAGGCACAAGCAGAUAUUACACGCCGAGUCGUUGUUAUAGCUAGGAAACAGACGGAAGAGGGAGACGCGUCGGCAGCGGCGUCCUGGGAUCGCCCGGCACGGAACGACUCCAAAACGAGGAACUGUCGCUCAGGCGAAAAAACUACGGGAAAAGUGGGGUUUGAAGGCUGCAGAUUUUUCCCCAAGCGGGGUCAGGCGGGGGUGUGCGAGCCGGGGGCUCAUGGGGCUGAGAGCGGAGCAGCGCCCACCCGAGCCUCACCGCGCUGCUCUCCAGCCGCGCUGUCCCGGGACAGCCGGGGUCACCCCUCCACGUGCCACCAGAGACACUGGGGGUCGGACGGACAGGGAGUCAGGAUUUUCCCCUCAUGCUGGAAGAGAAGGAUGUUUUUCUUUCCUGUUAAGCUUUCGUACUAAAGAUGUCAUCUGAAAGUCUGGGAGGAAGGGGGACUGUGCUCUGCUCUUUUUCACGGUAACAACCAUAUCAUAUUGAAAAAUAUGAUAGACAGUGGGGGAAGAUUUCCUCCCCCAUUA
Molecule: long non-coding RNA, 938 nt
Organism: Pyrgilauda ruficollis (rufous-necked snowfinch)
Lineage: Eukaryota; Metazoa; Chordata; Aves; Passeriformes; Passeridae
Exons: 4
Source: RefSeq, a predicted model, not a curated record